UACAGAGGGUGCAAGCGUUAAUCGGAAUUACUGGGCGUAAAGCGCACGUAGGCGGUUUUUUAAGUCAGAUGUGAAAGCCCCGGGCUCAACCUGGGAAUUGCAUUUUGAAACUGGGGAACUAGAGUGUGUGAGAGGGGGGUAGAAUUCCAAGUGUAGCGGUGAAAUGCGUAGAGAUUUGGAGGAAUACCAGUGGCGAAGGCGGCCCCCUGGCACAACACUGACGCUCAGGUGCGAAAGCGUGGGGAGCAAACAGG
Molecule: ribosomal RNA, 254 nt
Filed under: uncultured bacterium
Lineage: Bacteria
Description: partial 16S ribosomal RNA
Rfam family: Bacterial small subunit ribosomal RNA
Source: RNAcentral